AUAAGAAAAUAUGGUGAUUACCAUAGCAUUACAUUGUUGGCUUAAAUGUGCUAGCAUUCUGCCCUAUGGUUUGAGGCCAUGAUGGGCCGAGUCAUGCUCGAAAUGGCGUGAGGCAUGUUCAAAAUUACGUGAGGCUAGUUGGGCCGAGUCACAAUCGAGACCCGUUGGCACUGUAUCUGUACGCUUUAAGUGAAUUGGUUGCGUAUUUCUAACAGCUCGAGCUUUUGUGAUUAAUGGUUAGUGCCAACGAUCCGACAAGUGGUAUCAGAGCCAGAGGUCACGAGUUCGAUUCUCAUAUGCUGCAAAUGCCUCCAAGUACUGGAGGAGGGAUUGUUGGCUUAAAUGGACCGGCAUCAUGGGCAUUGUAUCUAUACACUUUAAGUGAAUUAGUUACGUCACUUUUGGGAUUAAUGGUUAGGGUUCGAUUUCUGCAUGUUGCAAAUGUGUCAAGCUGCUAAAGAGGGGAUUGUUGGUUUAAAUGGGUCAGCAUUCUGUCCUGUGGCGGAAGGCCAUGUUGGGCCGAGUCAUGUUCGAAAUUGCGAGGGGAUUGUUGGUUUAAAUAGGCCAGCAUUUUGUCCUGUGGCGGAAGCCCAUGUUGGGCCGAGUCAUGUUCGAAAUUGCGUGAGGCUGGUUGGGCCGAGUCAUAAUCUAGACCUCUGGGCGCUGUAUCUGUACGCUUUAAGUGAAUUGAUUGCGUAUUUCUAGUAGGUCGAGCUUUUGGAGUUAAUGAUUAGCGCCAACGAUCCGACAAACAUAUCCAAAAAAUUGAACAAAAGAAAAAAGAAAUAAUAUUACUUGAUACGAAAUUUAAUUCUUAAGAAUAAGAACUGUUUUUUGAU
This 839-nucleotide long non-coding RNA is filed under the name Ananas comosus (pineapple). RNAcentral's name for it is "long non-coding RNA (ACOM_LNC001563)". Lineage: Eukaryota; Viridiplantae; Streptophyta; Magnoliopsida; Poales; Bromeliaceae. The record is from RNAcentral.